RNAcentral lists this ribosomal RNA (508 nucleotides) under uncultured bacterium. RNAcentral describes it as "partial 16S ribosomal RNA". It matches the Rfam family "Bacterial small subunit ribosomal RNA", at positions 30 to 523 of the family's 1533-position model. The record is from RNAcentral.
AUUGAACGCUGGCGGCAUGCCUUACACAUGCAAGUCGAACGGCAGCGGGGGAGAAGCUUGCUUUUCCUGCCGGCGAGUGGCGAACGGGUGAGUAAUACAUCGGAACGUGCCCUGUAGUGGGGGGUAACUAGUCGAAAGAUUAGCUAAUACCGCAUACGACCUGAGGGUGAAAGUGGGGGACCGCAAGGCCUCAUGCUAUAGGAGCGGCCGAUGUCUGAUUAGCUAGUUGGUGGGGUAAAGGCCUACCAAGGCGACGAUCAGUAGCUGGUCUGAGAGGACGAUCAGCUACACUGGGACUGAGACACGGCCCAGACUCCUACGGGAGGCAGCAGUGGGGAAUUUUGGACAAUGGGCGAAAGCCUGAUCCAGCAAUGCCGCGUGUGUGAAGAAGGCCUUCGGGUUGUAAAGCACUUUUGUCCGGAAAGAAAUGGCUCUGGUUAAUGCCUGGGGUCGAUGACGGUACUGGAAGAAUAAGGACCGGCUAACUACGUGCCAGCAGCCGCCGCAG